Molecule: RNA transcript, 504 nt
Organism: Daucus carota subsp. sativus
Lineage: Eukaryota; Viridiplantae; Streptophyta; Magnoliopsida; Apiales; Apiaceae
Exons: 2
Source: RefSeq, a predicted model, not a curated record
AUAAUGCACUUAAAUUUUAAUUUGCUUCAAGUCAUUCUGUAAUCUACAGAUAUAUACUAUCAAACAUAAUGAAGCAAAUUUGGUUCACUAGUUUCCUAAUGAUCGUGAUGGCCAGCGUGGCCAUGAUGGUGUUUGCAGACGAUUCAGAUGAAGGUUUCGACAUACCUUGCUUCUUGGAAUGUGCUGGAGGUUGCUCUGCUAAUCAAAACAUCAAGUGCAUAACAUCGUGCUUUGAACGAUGCAUUAUUGCACCUCCGCCUCCAGCUCCUUCGCCUCUGCCUGAGCUUCCCCCCUGUAAACUAGCUUGCUCGUACUCAGAAUGCGCCAAUCUCAAUAACGAUAUUGACAAAGGGAAAUGCAUGGACAAAUGCUACAAGGUCUCUUGUGAAGACAAUGGUCAAUAAUAGCCUAGCCAUCAUUAAGUGGAAUAUUAUCAAACUGUGUUAUGUCUUGGGCAAUAAAAUUUACUAUGUGAUAAAUCUAUUACAGUUACAUUUCGAGUUA